Molecule: RNA transcript, 1762 nt
Organism: Lemur catta (Ring-tailed lemur)
Lineage: Eukaryota; Metazoa; Chordata; Mammalia; Primates; Lemuridae
Exons: 2
Source: RefSeq, a predicted model, not a curated record
AUGCAACAGCGAAACAAAGAACUUCCUGCUUCUUGUAUAUUGCUUCUGGGACUCCGGGCGGGGAGGAAGGGGCUGACUUCCCAUCUAGAGAGGUUGGUGGAGGAAGGAAAACGGAAAGGCGCUGGAGCGGUAAAGGGCAGCAGGGCUUGAUGGUGGGAUGGCUGGUGGGUAGGGGGCAGUGGGAGUGGUGAGGUUGUCUACAUCCUGGGGGAGGAGAGGGCAAAGGUGAGAGAUCACCUUCCCUAUCCUGCACUCUCCUGCAGGGGAGGCAAAGCCAGGUGCCAGGGCCUGGGGUCAGGACACCUAUGUUCUGGGGACUGCACCCCAAACCCCCAGACGCUGGAAGCUCCAAGCUCUGGGUGCCCCCUGAGUACCUCUGCCAGCCCCUCCCCUCCAGCCUGUCAGCCCAGCCUUCCCAGUACCCCCUCACUGUCCACUCUUCAGGUAGCGUAGCUCCAUUGCCACACUAGCCCAGCCCCUUCAUUGCCAUGUCCCCAGGGGUGGCCUGUCCACCUCUGCUCUGACCUGUCCCUGUCUCUCUUGCCCCUCCCUCUUUUCUCACAAGUGCCAUGAGUUUUCAAACAUCUUUGGGUCUCAGCCUGCUGCUGCCAUGAACUUCAUUGGGUUGAGGGGGUGGGGCUCUAGGAAGGAACUGGGGGGAAGGGGACAGGUAGGUGGCUGGAGGGACCCUUUUUGCUGCUAGAAAGCCCUCCCUUCUCCUGGGGAGCUGGGGCUGGCUUGUCCCCAUCAAUUAGGGGAGAAGGGGCCAGACCAAAGAUGGUGGUUUGUCCCAUGGUAAGGGAAGAGGUGUGGGGAAAAGGCAGGGUUGGGGGUCCAUCUUUGGCUUUUUCUGGUAGGAAGGUGUAAUCCACUUUGCCAGAAGACCACGGGUGAAAUCUAGAUGGGGAGAAGCGAGGCUGAGGACAGUCUUGCCAGACAGCUCUGCGGAGGGCAGGAGACAGCUCCAUGGUGUGGCGGGGCAGUGAGAAGUCUGGGAAUAGCAGGGCAGGUGGAGGAGCUGGCCCUGCCCAGCUACAGCCUGAGCUGCCUCUGGCACCAGGAGGGCUGGGAGAGUUCCCAGGGGACUGAAGGGCACAGGGAGCUCAGCUUCCUCCGCCUGCGGCCCUCCUGUCUCUCCAGAUGCAGACAAUCACUGGGAGAGCGGGUGUAGUGGACCCGUUGGUGCCCAUUCCAGCUGGAACCGCCAAGGUGAAUUCCAAGGCCUGAGCUGUGUGGCAGGGCCCUCUGGUGGGGCUGGACACCACUGUGGUCCAGCGUAAAGCCACCCCUGAGAACCCAGGUGUCCCCCUACCCAACCAGACCUGGUGCCUUGAUGCCCCCACCCCAGCUGGGACAGUACAGAGAAGGGUCUUGGGUUUCCUCUCCUACUCUCUUCCUUGGGCUCCUGAACUCAUUUGCUCCUGAAUCUUGGUAAUUCUUUUUCUCCAGAUUUUAUUUCUUCUGGGUUCCCCUUGCCUUCCCUUUCUCUCGUAUCUUUCCCCCAUGUCUCUCUCACCGUCUGUGUUCCUCUCUUCUCUCAUCCUCGAUUUCUCUGUCCAUUCAGGCCUCCUUCCCCCUCUCCCACGCCCCCAGUUCCUCCCUCGGUCUCCUUUUCGAUAUGCCAAACCAAUUUUGGGUCGAGUGCAUUUAACGAGAACAAAACAAAAGGCUCAUAACAACAAGAAAGUUUCAGAAAAAAACAAAAAGUUUAAAAAAAAUUGUUGAGUCAAAAAGUCAAUAAAGAAAUUAAGAUUUCUUGGAA